Molecule: transfer RNA, 76 nt
Filed under: Candidatus Deferrimicrobium sp.
Lineage: Bacteria; Candidatus Deferrimicrobiota; Candidatus Deferrimicrobia; Candidatus Deferrimicrobiales; Candidatus Deferrimicrobiaceae
Description: tRNA-Phe
Rfam family: tRNA
About the family: Transfer RNA (tRNA) molecules are approximately 80 nucleotides in length. Their secondary structure includes four short double-helical elements and three loops (D, anti-codon, and T loops).
Source: RNAcentral
GGCCCGUUAGCUCAGAUGGUAGAGCAGAGGACUGAAAAUCCUCGUGUCCCCGGUUCAAUUCCGGGAGGGGCCACCA